GCCUCAUUGGCUAAGUGGUAUAGCGUCUCACUAGUAAUGAGAAGAUCGCCUGUUCGAUUCAGGCAUGAGGCA
Non-coding RNA from Colletotrichum gloeosporioides, 72 nucleotides. NCBI's taxonomy places the organism in Eukaryota, Fungi, Ascomycota, Sordariomycetes, Glomerellales, Glomerellaceae. The record is from Rfam.